RNAcentral lists this ribosomal RNA (325 nucleotides) under Allapsidae sp. RNAcentral's name for it is "SSU rRNA". It matches the Rfam family "Eukaryotic small subunit ribosomal RNA", at positions 634 to 955 of the family's 1831-position model. The record is from RNAcentral. RNAcentral also lists the same sequence under 1 other name. Lineage: Eukaryota; Cercozoa; Glissomonadida; Viridiraptoridae.
GAUUUCUGGUUUAAUGUACCUGUCCCGCUGCGGUAACGCAUGUGAGUGACGGAGUAUGUUUGCCAUCCUUCUAGAGAAUACUAGCUAUCCUUCACUGGACCGGUUAGUGUCAUCUAGAUCUUUUACUUUGAAAAAAUUAGAGUGUUUCAAGCAGGCGUUUUGCUAUGAAUACAUUAGCAUGGAAUAAUGAGUUAGGACUUCGGUUCUAUUUUGUUGGUUUCUAGGACUGAAGUAAUGAUUGAUAGGGAUAGUUGGGGGUGCUAGUAUUCAGUGGCCAGAGGUGAAAUUCUUGGAUUCACUGAAGACUAACUUAUGCGAAAGCAUU